AGAACGACUCUCGGCAACGGAUAUCUCGGCUCUCGCAUCGAUGAAGAACGUAGCGAAAUCUAGAUACUUGGUGAAUUGCAGAAUCCGUGAACCAUCGAGUCUUUCGAACGCAAGUUGCGCCAAACGCAUUAGGCCAGGGCACGCGUCUCCGUGGGUGUCACGC
This 163-nucleotide ribosomal RNA is filed under the name Gossypium hirsutum (cotton). RNAcentral describes it as "5.8S rDNA". It matches the Rfam family "5.8S ribosomal RNA". From Rfam's summary of the family: 5.8S ribosomal RNA (5.8S rRNA) is a component of the large subunit of the eukaryotic ribosome. It is transcribed by RNA polymerase I as part of the 45S precursor that also contains 18S and 28S rRNA. Functionally, it is thought that 5.8S rRNA may be involved in ribosome translocation. Lineage: Eukaryota; Viridiplantae; Streptophyta; Magnoliopsida; Malvales; Malvaceae. The record is from RNAcentral.